AGAGUUUGAUCCUGGCUCAGGAUGAACCUUUACGACAGGCUUAACACAUGCAAGUCGAGGGGCAGCGGGGGUGCAGGCUUGCCUGCACCUGCCGGCGACCGGCGCACGGGUGAGUAACACGUAUGGAACCUGCCCGCCACAGGGGGAUAACCCGGGGAAACCCGGCCUAAUACCCCAUGCCGCCCGGACCGGGCAUCCGGACCGGGCGAAAGGAGGAAUCCGGUGGCGGCUGGGCAUGCGGCGCAUUAGCUUGACGGCGGGGUAACGGCCCACCGUGGCGACGAUGCGUAGGGGUUCUGAGAGGAAGGCCCCCCACACUGGAACUGAGACACGGUCCAGACUCCUACGGGAGGCAGCAGUGAGGAAUAUUGGUCAAUGGGCGGAAGCCUGAACCAGCCAAGUCGCGUGAGGGAAUAAGGCCCUACGGGUCGUAAACCUCUUUUGCCGGGGAGCAAGGGCGGGGACGUGUCCCGGCCCGGAGAGUACCCGGAGAAAAAGCAUCGGCUAACUCCGUGCCAGCAGCCGCGGUAAUACGGAGGAUGCGAGCGUUAUCCGGAUUUAUUGGGUUUAAAGGGUGCGUAGGCGGGCUUUUAAGUCAGCGGUAAAAAUUCGGGGCUCAACCCCGUCCGGCCGUUGAAACUGGGGGCCUUGAGUGGGCGAGAAGAAGGCGGAAUGCGUGGUGUAGCGGUGAAAUGCAUAGAUAUCACGCAGAACCCCGAUUGCGAAGGCAGCCUUCCGGCGCCCUACUGACGCUGAGGCACGAAAGUGCGGGGAUCGAACAGGAUUAGAUACCCUGGUAGUCCGCACAGUAAACGAUGGAUGCCAGCUGUCCGGGCCGAAUGGGGCCUGGGUGGCAAAGCGAAAGCGUUAAGCAUCCCACCUGGGGAGUACGCCGGCAACGGUGAAACUCAAAGGAAUUGACGGGGGCCCGCACAAGCGGAGGAACAUGUGGUUUAAUUCGAUGAUACGCGAGGAACCUUACCCGGGCUCAAACGCGUCAGGGAUCCCCUCUGAAAGGAGGGGAGUCAGCAAUGACCUGGCGCGAGGUGCUGCAUGGUUGUCGUCAGCUCGUGCCGUGAGGUGUCGGCUUAAGUGCCAUAACGAGCGCAACCCCUACCGACAGUUGCUAACUGGUGAAGCAGAGGACUCUGUCGGGACUGCCGGCGCAAGCUGCGAGGAAGGCGGGGAUGACGUCAAAUCAGCACGGCCCUUACGUCCGGGGCGACACACGUGUUACAAUGGCAGGUACAGCGGGAAGCCACCGGGCGACCGGGCGCGGAACCCGAAAACCUGUCUCAGUUCGGAUCGGAGUCUACAACCCGACUCCGUGAAGCUGGAUUCGCUAGUAAUCGCGCAUCAGCCACGGCGCGGUGAAUACGUUCCCGGGCCUUGCACACACCGCCCGUCA
RNAcentral lists this ribosomal RNA (1408 nucleotides) under uncultured bacterium. RNAcentral's name for it is "16S ribosomal RNA". It matches the Rfam family "Bacterial small subunit ribosomal RNA". The record is from RNAcentral.